UUUUGUCAAUUUUUUUUAAAAUUUUUAUCAAAUCAUGUUUGGUUGGGGGUUAAGGAGUGGAAUAACCCCUUAACCCCCAUAUUAUUUCCAAACACCUUCAAAAAUGGAUGAGAUUAGCUAAUCCCACCUCAAAUGGACUAUUUCAGAUUAGCUAACCCCACCUAACCCUACCAAAUCCGAACCAAACACUAUUUUCUAUUCAUAAUAACCCACUAUCCUUCUUAUCCCACAUACUCCAACCAAACACUAUUUUUUACUAUUCUGGACUAACUCAACCCCCAACCAGACACAAAAAUACUCUAACUCCACCUUAACCCUGAACUUAACCUUAUCCCUGGAAUAACUAGUUUUUUCUUAACCCCGAACCAAACGGUUAAAAAAGUUAUGUCAACUCUUGAAUGGUCCAUAACUAUAAUAUUAAAUUACAAUUUUGAUUCUUAAAUUUUUUAACUAACAAAAUAAUAAUUUGUAUGUGAAGGUGAGAGUGAUAUAAUAAUAUUAUGAUUAAUAAUACUAUAAUAAUUAAUGUGCCAUAUUACUUGUCCUUAUACACGUCAAUAUUUAGUUAACUGAAUUGAAAUUGUGAUUUGAGCAAAAAUUAUACCCUAUUCGCACAAGUCUUUGCAAAUAUAGUGAAUUACAAAUAUAUUUCUAUAAAAUUCAAUUUUUAUAUAUUGUUUUUACAAAAGUCCUAACAUUUUCAAAUAUGUCCCCGUCGUUAGAAUUCAUUAAAAAAAAUUUAUUAAUCAUAGAUUAAAUACUUAAUUUUGGUUAGUUUAUGAGAUAACUUGACAUUUUUGCCGCUCUUAUAUUACUGUUGUGGUUUUCGAAGGGACAUCUGUAAUAGAAAAAAAUUGACAUUUUACUUAAAAUAUAAACAGUAUUAUAAUGGUAAGAAAUCAAAAGGGCAUAUAUAAAAAUAUUAGAACUUUUGCAGAAACAAUGCAUGAAAGUUGAACUUUAUAGCAGUGUAUUUGUAAUUUAGUAUAUUUGUAAGGACCUGUAUGCAUUUA
Molecule: long non-coding RNA, 1013 nt
Filed under: Ananas comosus (pineapple)
Lineage: Eukaryota; Viridiplantae; Streptophyta; Magnoliopsida; Poales; Bromeliaceae
Description: long non-coding RNA (ACOM_LNC001669)
Source: RNAcentral